GAGGCCUGGCCCCGCGGCCGCCCGCCGCCGCCGCCGCCGCCCUGGCCCGCCCGGCCCGCCCGGCCCGCCGCGGGGCCACGGGCCCGACACGGCGCCCCGGAUUCGCCUCGGCUCGGCCGCGCGUGUACCUCCCUUCCUCCGUGAUCUCCGACACUGGUAAAGUGGAAGGAACUCAGGUACCCUGCCACAGAAAAGUACUGGGACUGGGCAAGAGAAAAAGAAGGGAAAUAAGGCAGUUUUGUUUGGCCAGCGACCGACACUUCCUGCUCCCGCCUGGGGAAGGUCCUGUCUCCCUGCGGCCCGGCCCGUCUCCCUCGCUGCCACGAGCUUCUUCCGUCGCUCAUCCCCGUGGGGGACCUCGCUCUCUCUGACCGUCGGACAGUUCUGCCUGAGCUCUGACUGACCCCUUCUACGUCUCCCUAAUCCGAGAUCCCGCACCUUCUGGAUCGUUCCUGGGAAUCAAUUCAUGCGCUUCUCGCAUGCUCUCCGGCUUUCUCAGAGCCAAGUGUAGCGGGCCUGGGAAACGGGACGUGGGCACCUCGGAGACACAUGGGGAACCCCAGGCCAGCGGCCGGAACAGAAAGGGCGUCUGGCUCCAGCACCGCCACACCCACCUCUUUUCCUACAGGACACAGAAGCAGCCAAGCUCAAAACAUAUCUUAAGUCUACAUGAGCAUA
Long non-coding RNA from Leopardus geoffroyi (Geoffroy's cat), 678 nucleotides. RefSeq lists it as uncharacterized. NCBI's taxonomy places the organism in Eukaryota, Metazoa, Chordata, Mammalia, Carnivora, Felidae. The record is from RefSeq and is a predicted model, not a curated record. The transcript has 3 exons.